AACGCUAGCUACAGGCUUAACACAUGCAAGUCGAGGGGCAGCAUGAUUGAAGCUUGCUUCAAUUGAUGGCGACCGGCGCACGGGUGAGUAACGCGUAUCCAACCUUCCGUACACUCAGGAAUAGCCUUUCGAAAGAAAGAUUAAUACCUGAUGGUAUGAUGAGAUUGCAUGAAAUCAUCAUUAAAGAUUCAUCGGUGUACGAUGGGGAUGCGUUCCAUUAGAUAGUAGGCGGGGUAACGGCCCACCUAGUCGACGAUGGAUAGGGGUUCUGAGAGGAAGGUCCCCCACAUUGGAACUGAGACACGGUCCAAACUCCUACGGGAGGCAGCAGUGAGGAAUAUUGGUCAAUGGGCGCGAGCCUGAACCAGCCAAGUAGCGUGAAGGAUGAAGGUCCUACGGAUUGUAAACUUCUUUUAUAAGGGAAUAAAGUCACCUACGUGUAGGUGUUUGUAUGUACCUUAUGAAUAAGCAUCGGCUAACUCCGUGCCAGCAGCCGCGGUAAUACGGAGGAUGCGAGCGUUAUCCGGAUUUAUUGGGUUUAAAGGGAGCGUAGACGGGUCGUUAAGUCAGCUGUGAAAGUUUGAGGCUCAACCUUAAAAUUGCAGUUGAUACUGGCGUCCUUGAGUACGGUUGAGGCAGGCGGAAUUCGUGGUGUAGCGGUGAAAUGCUUAGAUAUCACGAAGAACUCCGAUUG
Molecule: ribosomal RNA, 694 nt
Filed under: uncultured bacterium
Lineage: Bacteria
Description: bacterial SSU rRNA
Rfam family: Bacterial small subunit ribosomal RNA
Source: RNAcentral